RNAcentral lists this ribosomal RNA (466 nucleotides) under uncultured bacterium. Its description in RNAcentral is "partial 16S ribosomal RNA". It matches the Rfam family "Bacterial small subunit ribosomal RNA", at positions 28 to 507 of the family's 1533-position model. The record is from RNAcentral.
GAUGAACGCUGGCGGCGUGCUUAACACAUGCAAGUCGAACGGAAAGGCUCCUGCUUGCAGGGGUACUCGAGUGGCGAACGGGUGAGUAACACGUGGGUGAUCUGCCCUGCACUUCGGGAUAAGCCUGGGAAACUGGGUCUAAUACCGGAUAGGACGAUGGUUUGGAUGCCAUUGUGGAAAGUUUUUUCGGUGUGGGAUGAGCUCGCGGCCUAUCAGCUUGUUGGUGGGGUAAUGGCCUACCAAGGCGUCGACGGGUAGCCGGCCUGAGAGGGUGUACGGCCACAUUGGGACUGAGAUACGGCCCAGACUCCUACGGGAGGCAGCAGUGGGAAAUAUUGCACAAUGGGCGCAAGCCUGAUGCAGCGACGCCGCGUGGGGGAUGACGGCCUUCGGGUUGUAAACUCCUUUCGCUAGAGACGAAGCGCAAGUGACGGUACCUGGAGAAGAAGCACCGGCUAACUACGUG